CGCGUAGGCGGGAUGGCAAGUCGGUCGUGAAAUCCUUCGGCUCAACCGAAGAACGUCGAUCGAUACUGCUGUUCUUGAGGAUUGCAGAGGAGACUGGAAUUCCCGGUGUAGCGGUGAAAUGUGUAGAGAUCGGGAGGAACACCGGUGGCGAAGGCGGGUCUCUGGGCAAUUCCUGACGCUGAGGCGCGAAAGCGUGGGGAGCAAACG
This 207-nucleotide ribosomal RNA is filed under the name uncultured bacterium. RNAcentral describes it as "partial 16S ribosomal RNA". It matches the Rfam family "Bacterial small subunit ribosomal RNA", at positions 568 to 774 of the family's 1533-position model. The record is from RNAcentral.